Long non-coding RNA from Balaenoptera musculus (blue whale), 444 nucleotides. RefSeq lists it as uncharacterized. The record is from RefSeq and is a predicted model, not a curated record. NCBI's taxonomy places the organism in Eukaryota, Metazoa, Chordata, Mammalia, Artiodactyla, Balaenopteridae. The transcript has 3 exons.
CCUUCUUGUUUUUCGUUGCUGAUGAUUUCCCUAACUUUUCUUCCACAGGUUAGCUUUGCAUUUCAAAGGAUGUCUGUUACAUUUUACAAUAAGUCCCCUACAUACGAACCUUCAAGUUGAGAACUUUCAAAGAUGGGAACGUGCCCUCGAACAUCCAAUCACGUUUUCUGAUUUUGGAGUCUGCCUGGUUGACUGAACAUCGGAUGAAUGACUUGGGUUCCCCUGUCUUUGGAAAUUAAUAUUUCCCAAAGGAUAGAGGGUAAACCCAGCUACCAUUUUGAGUCUUGGAUGCAUUGGAACAUGUUUUCCUGCUGGUACUUCUGAUAGAGCUGAUUUGACUCCAAAUAAAUUGUCAAUAAAGGGAGCAUUGACUUAUACUGGCUUGAUUUUAGAUAUUCUUGUAUAUGAAAUGAGUUUUUUUGUUUUAACAAAAAGUAAGUCAAA